UACGGUUGCAAAGCUGAAACUUAAAGGAAUUGACGGAAGGGCACCACCAGGAGUGGAGCCUGUGGCUUAAUUUGACUCAACACGGGAAACCUCACCCGGUCCGGACACUGGAAGGAUUGACAGACUAAAGCUCUUUCUUGAUUCAGUGGGUGGUGGUGCAUGGCCGUUCUUAGUUGGUGGAGUGAUUUGUCUGGUUAAUUCCGAUAACGAACGAGACUCUCGCCUGCUAAAUAGUUUUCCAUACGUUACUUUAUGGAACCUAAAACUUCUUAGAGGUACAAGUGGCGUUUAGCCACACGAAACAGAGCAAUAACAGGUCUGUGAUGCCCUUAGAUGUCCGGGGCCGCACAUGUGCUACAAUGAAUGCAUCAACGUGUAUCAGCCUCGCCCGAAAGGGUUGGGGAAUCCGCUGAACGGCAUUCUCAGUAGGGAUUGGGGAUUGCAAUUAUUUCCCAUGAACACGGAAUUCCCAGUAGGCGCCAGUCAUCAGCUGGCGUCGAUUGAGUCCCUGCCCUUUGUACACACCGCCCGUCGCUACUACCGAUCGCUCUUGUUUAUGAGCUUGUCGGAUUNNNNNNNNNNAAAAGAGAAGCCGCCGAGUGGCGAGUUGUUGAAAGUAGCCCAGCGAAACAACGGAACAAACCCUCGGAAUAAGAAAGAAAAAGACGUGCUGUACGAAAAAGUGCAACG
Molecule: ribosomal RNA, 690 nt
Filed under: Tridacna maxima
Lineage: Eukaryota; Metazoa; Mollusca; Bivalvia; Cardiida; Cardiidae
Description: bacterial SSU rRNA
Rfam family: Eukaryotic small subunit ribosomal RNA
Source: RNAcentral